AUUGAACGCUGGCGGCAUGCCUUACACAUGCAAGUCGAACGGCAGCACGGGAGCAAUCCUGGUGGCGAGUGGCGAACGGGUGAGUAAUAUAUCGGAACGUGCCCAGUCGUGGGGGAUAACGUAGCGAAAGCUACGCUAAUACCGCAUACGAUCUACGGAUGAAAGCGGGGGAUCGCAAGACCUCGCGCGAUUGGAGCGGCCGAUAUCAGAUUAGCUAGUUGGUGGGGUAAAAGCUCACCAAGGCGACGAUCUGUAGCUGGUCUGAGAGGACGACCAGCCACACUGGAACUGAGACACGGUCCAGACCCU
RNAcentral lists this ribosomal RNA (309 nucleotides) under uncultured bacterium. RNAcentral describes it as "bacterial SSU rRNA". It matches the Rfam family "Bacterial small subunit ribosomal RNA", at positions 30 to 339 of the family's 1533-position model. The record is from RNAcentral.